GGGCCCAUAAUUUAAUGGUAGAAUGAUUUCUUGAUAUGGAAUAAGUAGGAGUUCAAUUCUCUUUGGGCCUA
This 71-nucleotide transfer RNA is filed under the name Cyathus pallidus. RNAcentral describes it as "tRNA-Ile". It matches the Rfam family "tRNA". From Rfam's summary of the family: Transfer RNA (tRNA) molecules are approximately 80 nucleotides in length. Their secondary structure includes four short double-helical elements and three loops (D, anti-codon, and T loops). Lineage: Eukaryota; Fungi; Basidiomycota; Agaricomycetes; Agaricales; Nidulariaceae. The record is from RNAcentral.